This 320-nucleotide ribosomal RNA is filed under the name uncultured Prevotella sp. Its description in RNAcentral is "partial 16S ribosomal RNA". Lineage: Bacteria; Pseudomonadati; Bacteroidota; Bacteroidia; Bacteroidales; Prevotellaceae. The record is from RNAcentral.
GGAGUCUGGUCCGUGUCUCAGUACCAGUGUGGGGGACCUUCCUCUCAGAACCCCGACUGAUCGAUGGCUCGGUGGGCCGUUACCCCGCCGACUGCCUAAUCAGACGCAUCCCCAUCCCUUAGCGAUGAAUCUUUGCUUCACGUUAGAUGCCCGCUGUGAAGAACAUAGGGUAUUAAUCCGACUUUCGCCGGGCUAUGCCCUACUAAGGGGAAGGUUGGAUACGCGUUACUCACCCGUGCGCCGGUCGCCAUCUAUCAAAGCAAGCUUCGAUAAUGAUGCCCCUCGACUUGCAUGUGUUAAGCCUGUAGCUAGCGUUCAUC